CGAACCAUCUAGUAGCUGGUUCCCUCCGAAGUUUCCCUCAGGAUAGCUGGUGCUCGGAGAAUCGCUCUCAUCCGGUAAAGCGAAUGAUUAGAGGCCUUGGGGCCGAAACGACCUCAACCUAUUCUCAAACUUUAAAUGGGUGAGAAGUCCGGCUUGCUCGACUGAAGCCCGGACGGCAAGGACGUGAGUACCAAGUGGGCCACUUUUGGUAAGCAGAACUGGCGAUGCGGGAUGAACCGAACGCCGGGUUAAGGCGCCCGAUGCGGGACGCUCAGAAGACCCCAUGAAAGGUGUUGGUUGCUAUAGACAGCAGGACGGUGGCCAUGGAAGUCGGAAUCCGCUAAGGAGUGUGUAACAACUCACCUGCCGAAGCAACUAGCCCUGAAAAUGGAUGGCGCUUUAGCGUCGAGCCCAUACCCGGCCCCCACGGCAAGGCUUUUAGAAUUAGGCCG
This 452-nucleotide ribosomal RNA is filed under the name Dhanus sumatranus. RNAcentral describes it as "partial large subunit ribosomal RNA". It matches the Rfam family "Eukaryotic large subunit ribosomal RNA", at positions 936 to 1374 of the family's 3401-position model. The record is from RNAcentral. Lineage: Eukaryota; Metazoa; Arthropoda; Arachnida; Pseudoscorpiones; Ideoroncidae.